RNAcentral lists this ribosomal RNA (450 nucleotides) under Anomala calligrapha. RNAcentral's name for it is "partial 16S ribosomal RNA". It matches the Rfam family "Bacterial large subunit ribosomal RNA", at positions 1819 to 2535 of the family's 2925-position model. Lineage: Eukaryota; Metazoa; Arthropoda; Insecta; Coleoptera; Scarabaeidae. The record is from RNAcentral.
GUCUUUUUGAUUAUAAUUUAAAGUCUAACCUGCCCAAUGAGUAUUUGAAUGGCCGCGGUAAUUUGACCGUGCAAAGGUAGCAUAAUCAUUAGUUUUUUAAUUGAAAGCUGGAAUGAACGGUUGGACGAGAAAAUAACUGUCUCAAUUUAAUUGACUAUAGAAUUUUAUUUAUAAGUAAAAAAGCUUAUAUAAUUUUAAAAGACGAGAAGACCCUAUAGAGUUUUAUAUUUUUUUAUAUUAAUUAGUUUUAGUAUAUUUAUAUUUUUGAUAUAAUGAAAUAUUUUGCUGGGGCAGCAGAAAAAUUAGUUAAACUUUUUUUAUUUAUAUUACAUUGAUUUAUGUGUUAAUGAUCCAUUUUUUAUGAUUAUAAGAUUAAAUUACCUUAGGGAUAACAGCGUAAUUUUUUUUUAGAGUUCUUAUCGAAAAAAGAGUUUGCGACCUCGAUGUUGG